GAUUUUGAUCCUGGCUCAGGACGAACGCUGGGGGCGUCCUUAACACAUGCAAGUCGAACGGUAAGGCCCCUUCGGGGGUACACGAGUGGCGAACGGGUGAGUAACACGUGGGUAAUCUGCCCUGCAUUUCGGGAUAAGCCUGGGAAACUGGGUCUAAUACCGGAUAUGAACUCCUGCCGCAUGGUGGGGGUUGGAAAGUUUUUCGGUGCAGGAUGAGCUCGCGGCCUAUCAGCUUGUUGGUGGGGUAAUGGCCUACCAAGGCGACGACGGGUAGCCGGCCUGAGAGGGUGAUCGGCCACACUGGGACUGAGACACGGCCCAGACUCCUACGGGAGGCAGCAGUGGGGAAUAUUGCACAAUGGGGGAAAGCCUGAUGCAGCGACGCCGCGUGGGGGAUGACGGCCUUCGGGUUGUAAACCCCUUUCAGCAGGGAAGAAGCGCAAGUG
RNAcentral lists this ribosomal RNA (446 nucleotides) under uncultured Dietzia sp. RNAcentral describes it as "bacterial SSU rRNA". It matches the Rfam family "Bacterial small subunit ribosomal RNA", at positions 9 to 458 of the family's 1533-position model. The record is from RNAcentral. Lineage: Bacteria; Bacillati; Actinomycetota; Actinomycetes; Mycobacteriales; Dietziaceae.